RNAcentral lists this long non-coding RNA (27078 nucleotides) under Citrus sinensis (sweet orange). Its description in RNAcentral is "long non-coding RNA (CSIN_LNC001261)". Lineage: Eukaryota; Viridiplantae; Streptophyta; Magnoliopsida; Sapindales; Rutaceae. The record is from RNAcentral.
AAAGGGUGGUUUUGGCCAUAUAUUUUUUGAUGAGCUAAACAGAUGUCUAUCAGAUUCCUUGUUUCUAGAUGUUUGGACUCCAGGAGUUUUUGGAUUCGAGGACUUCAUUCCAUGGUUGGCCAUGCUCAUGCUGGGGCCAUGUGAAGGUUUCUCAGGGGGACCAUGUAUCUGGGCAUAUGGUUUCAUUCAGUCAAGCCAACGUAGAAUCCAGCAUUUCUACCAACUUCUAUGUCCCUCUCAUGUAUGUUCCUGUGAAACUUGAGAGCAACAUCAAAGGCAGCACAUACUCGGCUGUGGAAAAAUCAAUGAAGAAUGAAGGUCAGUCUUCAAAAAACAAUGGCAGUUCCAAGUUGGAGGAGUAAAUUUGUUAUUAUUCAAAACAAUUGUAGAAAUAACAGUAUUUGCCAGCUAGUAAUUGACAUAACAGCAGUAGUUAAACAGUAAAAUGGAGUCCAAUGAGCCAACCAGUGGGAAGAAUGCAAUGCUCAGGCAGUACCGUGGGCAAUAUCACACUGAGACUCUAAGAGUGGAGGAUGUGCAAUUAUUGGCUUCAUGAGGCAUACUAAAUCAAUUCAAAGUUCAAAGUAUUGAAACAAUUAACUAAUUUAGGAUUUCCAUUUUAUGCACUAGAUCGGAAGGAUUCUGGAGCAAAAAUAUGUGCCCUGGUAACUUACUUUCAUGAAGUUAAUAACGUCCUACUAAUAAACAUCAAAAUGCAACGGCCCAUUAAAAAGAAAAGCACAGAAGAACUUUCAAUCUAUCAUUUCAAAACAGUCUCUCUGAACUAAACAAGAGUACAGCUAUGAUCUCCAGCUUUGGACGUUAGUACUUUUGCUUCUCCAAAAUCUUCACAUCACCUAAAGAGAGAGAGCAAUUUAAGAAUGUGCUCAUAAUAAUGAAAUUAGUUCUGGUAUCCGAGCAUUGUAGCUUGAUUGGAUAAUAAGUUCACAGGAAUACAUAUGAGACUCUCUAACUGCUUCACCUACAGGUACUACAAGAAGCUGGCAAACAUGUUGCUUUGACAUCAAGGGUUCAACAUAAUGCCAAAACAGCAAAAACAUUUUGUUAAAAGUUUGAUAUGGCAAAUCUAAAAGAUAAGUUGAUUCAAAUCCCAUAAUGGGCACACAGACAAUCUAGAAUGAGAGAAUGCAGGUUGCAGUUGCGAAUAUUCAACGAUCAACUGAGUUGAUAAUAACUUCUCCUAAUCCUUUAAAGGAUUGGCUUUGCUCCAUAAUUGGUUAAAUCACAAAUUUAGCAACCUAGCCUAUCCAAUAUGUCAUAAGAUCACAUAUUUAGAAGCUGAUUUUAUUAUGAAAGGCACAGGGCCAUUCUAAGUCAGAUAGGGAAGAAUAAUUGCUUUCAGGGAGGAGCCCAGUGGUCUCUCAUAUUGCAUAUGAUAUCAAGUCAAUGUGAACCAUUCACAUCAGCUUACAACCAAGCUGAAGUAGAAAUGUCAGGAUGCACGAUGAACUAGUUGAAGUACUAUUCUAAAGUUUUUCCAUCCAUAUUCUUAUAUAUUUAACGCAAAUAAAAUACAGAUUGGUACUUUGUUAUAGUUGUAUUCAAGCACAUAUUUGGCCUCUGUACAACUAAACUUCAAUGGAGCUCAUAAGAUUGGAAGCAAUAAGUUCAUCGGAUUAGCCAAGAUGGGGCACACUCAAAAGUAGACAAGUAGAGUACAACAGGUGCAUCUAACAAGAAAACUUCCAUUUUAAGAGAUGGUCUAGUGGCAUGGUACUCAGACAGAAAUUCCAGACCAUGAAUAACAAGUUAUGAACCACCAUCAAAGUAACUUUUCAAAGAGAUGAUUAAUACAUAGCCAAAGACAAGCCAUCAUAAUUGUGGACUGUUCAAAGAGAUGAUAAUACAUAGGCAAAUACAAGCCGUCAUAAUCGUGGACACAUAUCCUAAGAUAAUCCCAUUCCGCAGGAUGCAUUGCUGCAACAUAUAGAAUUCAGAUUCGACGCAAUCAACUCCACAUAAUCCAUCAAAAUCCCAUUGAAGAGGCAUUAGAAGGUAGAAAUUUCAGCUAAAUUUUUUUUGAAGAAAUGGAAAUAGAAGAAAGAAUCGUACCAUAGGUAGUGAGAAGAGAGAAUACAAGGGAAGAGAAAGGAGAAAUUCUAUGAAUCUUUGACCCCAAAAGAAAACCAAAAUCCAUACAAUACCUCCCUAAAGAACACACGCUUUUAUGGUUUUUGAUGGCAUAGGAGUACUUCCUAAGGAAAUAUAUAAGUAAUUAGGAGAUGCUACAAGAAUAGCUCAUGUCUGUUGCUUCCUAUAUAGUUACUUCCAUAUUCUUAUAUAUUUAAGGCAAAUAAAAUACAGAUUGGUACUUUGUUAUAGUUGUAUUCAAGCACAUAUUUGGCCUCUGUACAACUAAACUUCAAUGGAGCUCAUAAGAGUGGAAGCAAUAAGUUCAUCGGAUUAGCCAAGAUGGGGCACACUCAAAAGUAGACAAGUAGAGUACAACAGGUGCAUCUAACAAGAAAACUUCCAUUUUAAGAGAUGGUCUAGUGGCAUGGUACUCAGACAGAAAUUCCAGACCAUGAAUAACAAGUUAUGAACCACCAUCAAAGUAACUUUUCAAAGAGAUGAUUAAUACAUAGCCAAAGACAAGCCAUCAUAAUUGUGGACUGUUCAAAGAGAUGAUAAUACAUAGGCAAAUACAAGCCGUCAUAAUCGUGGACACAUAUCCUAAGAUAAUCCCAUUCCGCAGGAUGCAUUGCUGCAACAUAUAGAAUUCAGAUUCGACGCAAUCAACUCCACAUAAUCCAUCAAAAUCCCAUUGAAGAGGCAUUAGAAGGUAGAAAUUUCAGCUAAAUUUUUUUUGAAGAAAUGGAAAUAGAAGAAAGAAUCGUACCAUAGGUAGUGAGAAGAGAGAAUACAAGGGAAGAGAAAGGAGAAAUUCUAUGAAUCUUUGACCCCAAAAGAAAACCAAAAUCCAUACAAUACCUCCCUAAAGAACACACGCUCUUAUGGUUUUUGAUGGCAUAGGAGUACUUCCUAAGGAAAUAUAUAAGUAAUUAGGAGAUGCUACAAGGAUAGCUCAUGUCUGUUGCUUCCUAUAUAGUUACUCCAUAGUUAGUUCACACAAAAAUAGUUUCUGUAAGGUAAACAUGGUUUACUUUCACUGCAAUAUAUAACAUAAGUAGACGACAACACUCAUAUCUGGAUAAACUUUUGAAAUUAGGUUUUCAGGAUCUUUUACAAAUUUGUAAUUUUUAUUUGCUUCACCCUCUCCCCCUAUUCUUAGAAAACCUAAAAUUUUGGAUCCUUCUGUCCGUUGCCUUUGCUAAUAAGCAGUUCUCUGUCUAGCCGCUAUUAAGCCACAUUACCUCCACAAGAAAUCAAUUCCUAGCCACAAAACACUCCAUUACUCUCCCCAGCUUUGUUACAUUAGAUCUUUAGCAAGCAUCAAUAACCAAAUUCAAAAUAACACACACUACUAUGCACUUAAAUCAAAUUACCAAGAUCAAUUUUGAAAAAUAUCAUAAAAUCGUGAAACACAAGAACAUUGCAUUGCAAUGUAUUGUUAAUAUAUCCCAUAUCAGUAUCAUACAUAUCAUUAUCAACACCACGAAUACCACCACCAUCAUCAUAAACCUCUUUUGACUCCAAAAUCAACAGCUCUUAUUGUCGUAACGAGCAUAGCUACAGAACCCAUUACUGAAAAUUAACACUUGAAACCACCUAGCUUAAUUAAACCCAUCUGCUAAUAAACCUAUUCAUUGCUAACCCAUCAAGCUACAAAUUAAUCAAAAUCAAACUCCAAACAAAAUGAAAUAAUCAAAUAAUAAUAACAACAACAGUAACACAAAUAUACCGGUGAACAAAUUGACGAAUCCGGGGGUGCUUAGGGCUGAUAACGCGGCCCUGAAUCCUCAAAGCAAGCCUGUACGUCCGCUUCAUCCCCAAGAAAUACGCUGUUCCCAAUGUGAUCUCCCAUAGCACCAUUGUCUCUCUUUCUAGAACUCUCUCUCUCUCUGUGUAUUGUUCGUGUAUUUAUGCACUUUUUUUUUGUUUUAUGUUUAUUUAUUUAUGGAUAUUUUUUAUAUUUUGACGUUUCUUUUCUCCCAAGUAUCUAUGGAUCCCUCGCUUCAGAGAAGUAUCUAUGGAUCCCUUGAUUCGAGCCGCCAGAUAUUUCGAUCUUGGUUACCCAUCACGCUUCGGCCUUAGAGUGUUUAUCCGUUUUUUGUCUCCGGACUUCAUAUGUAUCUAAAGAGGAAUUUUUGAGGAUUAUGCCAUCAAUAAAAAUAAAAUUUCCAUAAACAUGACAAAUAUGUGAGGAAAAGUCUAGAAAGCCCUUCCAUUAGAAUGACACACUCUACCCACACCCAGUAGUUAGCUGCCCGACCUUUUUUUAGUUGACAACUAUACUCGACUUUAUUUUAACCAAUAGUUACAUAAUUGUGAGACUCAUUUUCAUAUUCGAUCUAUAUUUAAUUUUUUAAUUACUCGAAUAUUAUCGAAAAUGAACUAAUUAUGAUUAAAUUAUUUAUUAAUCAUUCCAUAAUUAUCUAAUUGUACUUAAGUAAUUUAUCUAUGCUAUGCAUUAUAAUGAACGAAAAAUUAAACUAAAGAAAGCCUGUCACUUUUUUUAUAAAAAAAAUUGGAGAGAGAGGGGCAAAAUAGUCUAUUGUGUUGCUAUAUUGAAUGAAUAUAUUUUAUAGUCUUUGUGCAAUUCACUCGGUCGUAAUCACAUAUAAGUGAAUAAAGCCGAAAGCAGGCGUAGUUCUGGAAAUUGGCCAUUUAAAAUUAAAAAAAAAAAAAAACUCUACAUCUCUUUGAGUUCUCCCGGCCUCAUCUCAACAGUUGGGUUCUCUGUUUUUUUUUUUAUAAUGCCACUGUUUUAGUGAAAGAGAUCUUUUAAAUACACCUCUUUACUUGAAUAAAAAAGGGGUACAAAUAUGUCAAACAAUAAAAAUGGCAUGAAGCUAAAAGGAGCAAAAUAAUAAUAAGUCAAUGGUAGAAUAAUUAGUAGAACUUCUUCGCGUGUUCACUAUUUCAUUUCUCAAUCUCUUGAAAUAUUUGAUUGAUGGGUAUUUAUAGCCAAUAAAGCAUAUAUAUUCGGUCGUGCAUUUAGCAACAUGUUUUUUGAUUCUUAAGGUGUUAUGUAUAUUAUAUUUCAAGGAGUAUGAUGAUACACACAUACAUCAUAAAUCAUGGAGCUGCUUUUGCAACUCACUUCCUAAAGUUAUUAGUGUAAAAUACACAUUCUUUUUACCAAGAGAUGAAUAGAUAUAUCUCAUAACAACAACGAGAAUUUAAAUUAUCACAAUGCUUUUGAAAUUCCAAGAACAGAAACCUCCGCUUCCACAAUGCACACAUCAUUCACAAGAAAACCAUUGCCUGCCUCGUUUUAGUAACUGAGUUCAACAAAUCUUGGCCAACCCCAUGAGGACCUGAACCAUAUACUUGCUGCGUGAAACAACAAUAAAGAAAGCCUCAAGUUAUUUGUAUUUAGCUAUAAAGCUUAUAGUUGCAGUACUAUUGCAUUAAUUCAUGCACCUGUGAAAUAAGUUUGGGAUAUUAAUUUUUUUAUUUAAUUACUUUUUGCUUCUUUAUGCUUUCCCCGCACUUGAUCCCGGAUUCGCAGUGUGAAGUGCACGUAUAUUUUAAAACCAGGAGUUAUAGUUGAGGAAUCAACCAAUGCCAAGGACAUAGAAACAUGACUGCCGGUUCCACUUUUGAUUCCCUUGGGAUGGAGCUGUAUCUUCCUGAAAAAAUCAACAAGGGUUAAUUUUCAGAUGAGGCAUUUAAUUAGAUGAUACGAGUAAAGAAAUUAACAGAAAGAAUUAGUCAUCCUCAACUUCGGACGUCUACUUGAUCGUAGGCUAAAUCCAAACCUCGUGAAAUUUGGACACCAUUUCAGAAAGUAUAUAUAUACAUAUACCACUUUUGAUCUCUAACAAUGAAUACUUCUGAUUCGUGACGCUUUGCCUCUAACUUUGAAAAGUUCUCGAUCUUCCAAACAUGCUUAUAAAUGGAAGCAGAUGUCAAUUUCGUCAUGGAAAGGCACUCUCCUUUGCAUUUGUUCCUUUCUUUAACCAGUACUUCUGCUCCAAAAACACACGUAUCGUCCACAAGAUAUCCAUUCGAAGCAUCGUUAAAUUCUUCCAGCGGGAUGAAUUGAUCAAAACCCCAUUCAAGCUUCAAUCCAUGAAAACGUCUUUCUUUUCCCAUGGCAUCUACCACAUGAUGAAGUGACCCCAAAUCACGAUUAGCUCUUAGGUAAAUAAUUAAGAACAAAAUAAUCCUGAACACUGUUGAGUAUAAUAAUCAACCUUGAAGAAUCAAGAACUCGUCUUUGUUCUGAUCAAGCACAAAGAGGCGGAAAAUUGGAUAGACUUCCCAGCCAAAGCCAAGCGAACUUGUGUCUGCCAUUUCCAAGUAGAGUGAGAUGUGAUCGUUCACAUUUUUGUUUUCAUUUCCAUUUGGGUAGACAACAAGUUUCCUGAAACCAUCAUGAAUUCAAAAUAACAUAUUAGAUUAUGAAUUAUAAUUUAGUAACAAGGUAAUCUGAAUAUUAAUUCACUAAGUUUUAGGUCAUACCACUUGUGGCCUCCAGCAUCAAAUUCCAAAGAUUCAUAAAUUUCCAAUUCAUUCUCCACAAGAGAUGAAAAUUCCUGUAUUUUGAGUAAGAAAUGAGCCGGUGGUACGUGUGAAAUGGAUCUUGAAAUUGCCGUCAAGAGUAAUUUUAACAUUGAUAAGAAGAUAACAAGCUAAAAAUGUUCAAUUAAUGCACAUAUAUAAACAUACGUAGAGAAGGGAAGCUGAGGAAAGAGUUAGACAACAUACCAACUUGGUCUACAAAGUCAUUUUCCAUUGCAACAAAUCCCUCCAAAUUACAAUAAUUUCUCGAGUAUUAAAACUAGUAUUGAAGACAGAUUUAUUAAGAUAAGAUUUUUCAAGGGUUACAGGUCUCUCAAAAAUAAUAUUUCUUCUUUAAAAUAUCUAAAAGGGACAAUGGCAUAUAUAAAGCACCAAGGUUGAGGGUUUAUACAAUUCAACAUUAAAUUUUCAGAAAGAGUCAGAAUAACUAUUGAUAUUCGCCAAGUUUUGGAAACUGGUGGUUGCAAGAAUGGAAUGGAAAGGGGAAUGCAAGGGGGGGAAGGGAGAUUGAUUCUUUAAUUUGUUUGGUUUGGUCAAGGAAUAUUGAUUUCUUUGCUUGGUUGCAAGAAUGGAUGGUAAGGGGUAAGAAAACAACUACAAUACAAAUGAACAAGAAUAUGUGCCCUCCACUCAAAAAACGUCUAUUUCAACGAACUGAAGCAGUAUUUUAGUUGUUCUAUUUUCUAUUAUCAAAUAUUAUAAAAUUAGCUUCCAAAAUUUAGGCCCGAUUUAGUAUUAUGGUUGAGCAGCACUUAGUGUUCGAUAAAUAUUUAUUAAUCUAAUCUGAAAGUUAAGUUGAUUUUAUUUCACGCUCGUAAAAUAAAAAAACCUAAAAAAAACCUAUUGCGACUGGCAGAAUACAGAGAGAAAAAAAGAGGGGCAACAGUGAAUAAGAUAUCACAGGCUAAACCUAUAAGAAGCAUCCCCAUCUAGUUUCCAUGUGGAGACUUAACAACCAAUUAACCACCAAUUAUCGAGCGGCAACAAUUGAAUUUCUCUGUCAAAUAUUUGGGUACGAUGAGAUUAACUCUUAUUAUAAGAAAUAAAAUUAAAAAAUUGGCAUCCCAAUUUUCUUGCAAGAGUAGCAAUGCUUAUUAGAGUAUAUAUUACAGGGCUUUGGGAAUUCUAAGCGCAGACACCUCUACUUCAGCAAUGCACACUUCGUUCACAAGAAAACCAUUGCUUGCCUUGUUCAAGUAACUGGGUUCAACAAAUUUGUGCCAGCCCCAAUCUUCGAUUGAGUUCCUAAACCAUGUACUGGCUACAGGAACAACAAUAGAAACCUGAAGUUAUCUGUAUUUAGCUACUACGCUUAUUGAUGAACUUCAACACCUGUUAAAGCUUGGGUUAAUAAUAACAAGGGUAAAGUUUUAUGAUUAUGCUUUGACUACACUUGAUCCUGGAUUUGCAGUGUGAAACAAAGGUAUUUUUAAAACCACGAGUUAUAGUUGAGAAGUCAGCCAAAUAUCAGGUACAUAGAAAUAUGACUGCCAGGUCCUUCUCUCUGUCCCUCGGGAUAGAGGCAUACCUUCCUGAAAAAAUCAACAAGGGUAAAGUUUAAGUCUCGGCAUUCAAUUGUACUUAUUUACUAAGAGGUUCCACUUAACAAAUUAUUAAAACAUUAACUUUCAAAUGUGGCAUUUAGUUUAUAUAUAUGAACAGAGAAACAAGUAAAUUUUAGAAAAUCAUUUACAUUAUACAUUCGAAGAAGUGGUCAUAACAUGAGGCCCCUUUUUAACAAGUUGUACCAUUCAAAUUUCUUCUACAUUACCAUUAGAAAUAUAUCGCACAUGUAUAAAUGAACCUUAAGUAUUAGUCAUGUUCUGGUACAGAUGUCUAGAUUUCGGCUAUUAUAUAUUAGAGUUGUGCAUCAUUAUAAAAUGUACAACUUUGAUUAUAGUUCGAAUCGAGGUUUUAUAGACUCUGAACGUCCUGACUUGAGCAUUAAAUCCAGAUAUCAUUCAAUUCUGAAUUGAUCAAAACCUAAUUCAAGCUUCUUUCAUUUCCCAUGGCAUCUAUUACAUGAAGUUGACCAAAUCAUUGAUUAGCUCUUAGUUAAAUAAUUAAAUAAGAACAAAAUAAUCAUAAACAUUGCUGAGUGUAAUAAUUAACCUUGAAGAAUCAAGAACUCGUCUCUCUUCUGAUCAAGCACAAAUAAUAAUCUAAUAUCUAAUUCACUGUUGUGGAUAGUUAUGACCAAUUAAUUAUCUUAUUUUGCAAUAACAUAUUUUUUACGUUCGGCACCGUUUUUCAUGGGCCAUUCUCAUUUUCUUUUUAUAAAUUCAAGUGGAAUAAGUGUUCGGUAGCCCUUCUCGUAAAACCUAAUUGUAAAACAUAGAAUCUGACUUAGCUUUGAUAGUUAUAAAUUAUAAAACAACUUAUACAUGUUUUACUUGUUUUAUAAAACAAAUUGUAAAAUAAAAUAUAAUAAUAUACACGGUUAAUAAAAAUAGCAGAUAGUCUCCAUCUUUAAGACUCUUGACACCCCGUCUAUCUCACUAACCUUAUCUCUUAACUCUCAUCUUCCUUCAUGAUUUACGAACUGCAUCUCGUUCUUCCUUUCUUCUUCUUUUCUUCUUCCUCUGUUUUUUCUACCUUUCCUUCAUAAUUCUUUUCUUUAUUAGCUCGAUCAUUUUUUUCAACAUAUUUCUGGGUUCUUAUACAUUUUAUUUAGUUUUUCUUUGAUAAAAUCACCAAAGAUCUAUAGAGAUUUACACUGAACUUUGCAGAUAUGGGUAUUUGAUUCUUAAUUGUAAGCAAGCAUGUAAUCUUUUUUUUUUGUUUCCCAGAAACGCCAUAUUUAAUCAUUUUAAUUUGAUCAAAUGUUAAAAUGUUGUAAGAAUUCAAUAGAUUUUUUUCUUUUUUGAAAGAAAGGAGAAUUAGAUUUAAUAUUUAUAAAAUUAUUUUUCCUCCUUUUAUAUCCUUUUCGAAUCAAGUGUAUAAGGUAGAAAGAUCGAUCGAAUAGUGAUCAUGUUAACAAAAAAUAAUUAUUUAAAAAAGUUAAAAUUGGAUAUUAUAAUUAUUGUUAUUAUUAUUGCUGUUGUUGUUGUAAGUUGGUAUAUUGAAAAAUAAAUUAGUUUUUAUAUGAAUUUUAAACACAAAUUUAACUUGCAUGAAGUAAAAACCGUUAAUAGAUACCGAACGUGUAUUAUUAAUUUCAUUUUUUAAAUAUAGGAUAUACAAAAUAAUACCAAACACAUAUUUAAAUUAGAAAUAUAAGAACUUCAAAACACCAUUUUCGUUCUCAUUUUUAUUCUAAGAAAAUAUAAAUUUAAAAACCAUACCGAACAUGCUAGCUUCUGAUCUUUUUUUAGUUUAGAAACUACUUCUUUUGAAUUCUUAAAUGUCCAUAUAUGAUAUUUCUUUCAUGUAACAUUAAUUUCUUGCUUGUACUCAAUUUAUCUUAUUAAUGCUUCUCUUUAAUUAAAAACUAAGAGUUUUUAUCACCAUCUCACUUGUUAAUAGUUGAUAGAUAGUAAUUUUAUUCCAGGAUUAAGAUUGUCAGAGAUUUUCUUCCAGGAUUAAGAAUUAUGUCAAUGAACAAAUGUGAUCGCAUAAGUAAGCCAUAAAAUCAAUGAAUUUCUUUAUUUCGUGAGAAACCAAGAAGAAUAAACAUCUCAAUUUUCUUCAUAUUUUGCUCGAAUUACUUGUUAUUACAAUGCCUCGGAGAUUCUGAGCACGUGAUCUCAGCUUCCACCACGCAAAUGUCGUUCACAAGAUACCCAUUCUUUGGGUCAUUUAACUUAAUGAAACGAAUCUUGACCAACCCCACUUAUUAUCGACUGGUGCAUAGAACCAUUUUCUACCUCCUAGAGAAAAGGAAUCAUUUGUUGAACAUGUGCAUGCAUGUGGCAAAUAAUUGCACGUGGCUAGCAUGCAAUUUUUUAACUCUUAGCAUAAAGUUGUUGAGUAAAUGGAAAACAAAGGUAAGUGGAAGGAAUCAACUUUUGACAUUGGCACCAAAUUUGAAAAGUUGGGUGGAAAUUUAUAUUAUUUUAAUGCCCACCAUUGUUGAUUUUUGGGCAUGGCUUGACCUAUCAAUAGAGGCCUCAUUUGCCCUCUUUAUUUAUCUCAUUUUCUCCAAUUCAAGUGAGAGUGCCAAGAGGUGUAAGUUGAGAGUGUUGAGAGCUUUGAGCUGUAGUUCUAGUGUUUUGAGAGUUUGGGUGUAUUGAGAUUUUGGGUUGAGAGAAAAAAUAUUACAAUACUUGUAAUUCCUUUUCACUAGUAAAAUAUUUUCUUUUGUCUUUGUCUGUGGAUGUAGGUUAAAAACUGAACCACGGAAAUUCUGGUGUCCAGGUAUGUUCAUUAUUUCUUAAUUUUACUUUAGUUGCGUGUUUGCUGCACCCGCAAAUUCCCAACAUCAUUCUCAUUAUACAUAUUAUUUGAAUUCUAUAACCUCAAAUUAAGCUGAUUUUUUUUUAGGUUAAAGGUACUUUCAAAAUCAAAGAGUAAAAAAAAAACUGCUUGAAAAUCACUCAAUCAAAUUACCGGUGUCAAUCAUAUAAAAAACAAGCAAUAUACCUUAAGAAGAUUCAUGCAUUGGCGAAUUUGAUCCAAGAUUUGAAAUGUAAACUCUGCGCAUACUUUAACAAUACUCCGAACUGCGGAAUCUCCAAAACCCAAGAACAAGGAAAGAUAAUCGCCAGCACCGGGGCCAGCUCCCAUCGGGUGCAGCUCUAUCUUCCUGAAAAAAACGAAAUGGUAUUUAAUUAAUUGUACACUCACUGACAACUUUGUCUCAAGAACUUAUUAUUUAUUAUACCUGUAUAAAUUAAAAAAAAAUUAAAAUCUUCGAUACCAUUUGUGGUUUCCAGCAUCGAAAACUUGUGAUUCCUCAUAUCCUGCGUCUAACUUUGAAAAGUUCUCGAUCUUCCAAACAUACUUACAACUGCUUGCAAUUUCUUUCAUAGAUAGGCACUCUCCUUUGAAUUUGUUUCUUUCUUUAACAAGCACUUCAGCGUCAAAAACACACGUAUCUUCGACAAGGUAUCCAUUUGAAGCAUCAUUGAAAGCUCUAAGCGGGAUGAAUUUAUCAAAACCCCAUACAUGCUUCAGUCCAUUAAACCGUCUUUCCUUUCCCAUGCAAUCUAUCACAUUAAAAGCAACCACUGAUUAUGCAUGCAUUCAAUUUCUUUCCUAAAGAUUCGAGCAAAAUUUUUGCUUUCAAUAUACAAUUCUGGACAUUAAAUUUGAUUUAACCUUGAACUACAAAGUAGUUGUCUUGGUUCUAAUCAAGUAAGAACAGACAAAAACUGCAGAGACUUCCCAAUCCAAAGUAAAUGAACUUGUGCCUGCAAUUGCUAAGUAGAGUGAGAUGUAGUCUUUCACAUUCUUGCUCUAAUUUCCAUUUGGGUACAGAACAAGUUCCUUGUAAUAAUUAAUCGACAUUAAUAAAUAAUACACUAACAUGAUAAUUAAAUUUAAUUACGUCAAUUAAGGACACACACACACGCACACACAUACAUACAUACAUACCACUUGUAGCCUCCAACUUCAAAUUCUCCUGAUUCAUAUUCCUCUUCUGCUUUUUCCGCAAGUAAUGAAAAUGAUUUUAUUUGGACAAUGUAAUGAGCCGGUGGCGCUUUUGAAGUGGAUCUUUCACUAGCUAUUAAAGUAAUUUUAUACACCGAUUGAUUAAUUAGGAAAUAAAAUAAGCAGCUGAAGAUUUUAUGUAUAUUAAUUUGACCAAGAAGAGAAGGAGAGAGAACAGACAUUCCACGGAAAAAAACUCUUCCAAAUAAUUGUCGAAUGCACAUUCUGCCUCGUGGGAAGGACAAUGUAAUGAGCCGGUGGCGCUUUUGAAGUGGAUCUUUCACUAGCUAUUAAAGUAAUUUUAUACACCGAUUGAUUAAUUAGGAAAUAAAAUAAGAAGCUGAAGAUUUUAUCUAUAUUAAUUUGACCAAGAAGAGAAGGAGAGAGAACAGACAUUCCACGGAAAAAAAUUCUUCCAAAUAAUUGUCGAAUGCACAUUCUGCCUCGUGGGAAUUCUCGGACGGCGUUUCGCGACCGAAACGGCAGCGUUUCGAGGCAGCUGUCUUUUGAGGGUGGUUCAUGCUAAGUCCGAUGAUGGCUUCAGGAAUGCUCCGCUUGAUACAACUUAGUAGCUAAUAACUUUGUCCAAAUCCCAAAUAAAUAAGAGAAAUAAAUUUAAAUCCAAAUAAAAAUGGAAUUACAAAAACUGACUAAAAAACAAAGGCUAAAUAGGGUAAAUCCUGAUAAAAUAUGAAAAACUGCUUUUAACUAAUAAAAUUCGUAAGUAUCUCAUUUAAAUGUUACAAAUGAUCAAUAAAAUCUCACCCUUAAAAGUUGUGUGCCUUGCCCGCACUUGAUCCAAAAUAUAGAGUCCAAGUUUUGCAUAUACUUUUAACAGUCGAAUAUACCAAAAUCGAGAACAGCAGAUCAGCUUUUUCUUCAUGAAGAAUAUUAGCUUUUUUGCAUUUAUUUUCAUUACAAUAAGUUUCUUGCAACCACCAUGAAUUCAAUGAGAUAUUAGACGGCCGUAGUUCAGUAAUAAGAAAAUCUGAAUAUUAAAUGAAUUAGUCUGACUAUUGAUAUUCAUCAAAUUUCUGAAACUGGGUCAACAAUUUGCUUUUCAUUGUAAUCCAGCGAAGGAAAAAAAAAGUAAUAAUAAAUAAAGUUUGGUAGAUAAAUCAAAAGAAAAUCAUAUAAUAAUAUUCCAUGUGAUUGGAUUAAUUGUUUCAGUUGGUUUCACUGCCUUCGAUUUCUCUCUUACAUCCCAAUUUUCUUUGUACCAAUCACUUCUUUCUUUUUGGAAAUCAAAAUCUUAGAAGAAAGAAGAAUUACUGCCAAGAGCAUAUAAUAAAUCUUCACGUUCAUAGAUGCAUAAAAUUAGAUCACCAAAAUCACACUAAAAGUUAACUGGACAACUGAAACAAUAAGCAACAUAGCUAUAAUUUGGAAAUCCAGGAGAGAAAUAAUUUUCUUGCAAGCUAAAAUAAAUUUCCUAGAUUAGCCAGGAUGGCAGUCAGCAUCACACAAUAAAAGAACCCAAUUGGACGACAAGUAACUACUUGUUAUAUUGGCUCGGAAAUCCCAAGCACAGUGACCUCAGCCUCCACCACGCAAACGUCAUUCACUAGGAACCCAGUCUCUGGAUCAUUUAACUCACUCAAUGAAACGAAUCUUGGGCAGCCCCAGCUAGACUUUGGUGUAUGGAACCAGAAUUUAUCUGCUAGAGUAAAAGGAGCGCUCUCGUAAUAUUAUUUGGAUUUGCCUUCAAUUAAUUAAGCUGACUUACUAAUUGCAUGUAAAGACACACAUUUUACCUUGAAAAGAUUCAUGCUUUGCCCCAGUUGAUCCCAGAUUCGCAAUGUGAACUCUGCAUAAACUUGAACAUUCUCAACUGUGAAAUUUUCCAAAAUCAAAAACAUGGAAAGAUGAUCGGCAGCACCAAUGUCAAUUCCCGCGGGGUGGAGCUCUAUCUUCCUGAAAACAAUGAUUUGGAACUUAGUUGUAGAUUCACUAAAUACCUUGCCUCAAGAAGGUAUUUACAUAUAUAUUCUGAUUUGGAAAAAGAAAAAAAUUGAAGCUUAGAUACCAUUUGUGAUUUCCGGCACCGAACGCUUGUGAUUCCUUAUAUCCUGCGCCUAAUUUUGAAAAGUUGUCGAUCUUCCAUACAUACUUAGAACUAUAUGCAUAUUUUUCCAUGGAUAGGCACUCUCCUUUGACUCUGCUUCUUUCUUUAACAAAGACUUCAGCUCCAAAAACACAUGUAUCCUUGACAAGGUAUCCAUUUGUAGAAUCGUUGAAAGCUUCAAGUGGGAUGAACUGAUCCAAACCCCACUGAAGCUUCAACCCAUUAAACCGUCUUUCCUUUCCCAGGGCAUCUAUCACAUUACAACCGACCACUGAUUAUGCAAUUCUUUAUCUAAAAGACUAGAACAAAUUUUUGCUGCAGUAUUUUCUGUAUUUAAUUUGUAAAAUACUGACGACCACACUAGAUAAGUUUAUAAACAUAUCAUAUCGUCAAAAUUGUAAAAUGUACGUAGAUCAUUAGAAAAUAUGAUCAAGAUUAACAUUUCGAAAGUAGAAUAUAAUAUAACCUUGAACUACCAAGUAGAUAUCUUGGUUCUGAUCAAGUAAAAACAAACGAAAAACUGCAUAGACUUCCCAACCAAAAGUAAGUGAACAUGUAUCUGCCAUUUCUAGGUAGAGGGAAAUGUGAUCUUUCACAUUCUUGCUCUCUUGGGGUAUAUAACAAGUUUCCUGCAAUAAUUAAUUAAUCAACAUAAAUACACUAAUAAAUGAUACUACCAAGCAAAGACUAUCAUUCAAAAGUUAGGUUCAAAUCGUGAUCACAUUAGGGUUGGGGAGUUGUUGUUUUUUUUUUUUUUAAUCAUUAUAGUCUAACGGCAGCCCAAUUUUCUUGUCAUCUUUGAAAAGUGAUUUUGAACCCGGGAUCUGAUGUUUCACCACAAAAGAUUUUACCAAUUUAACUAAAUAACACUCAGCCCGUAGGUUGAGGUGUCGUUUGAUUAUUAAUAUCAAGAUGGAAUAAUAAUAAUAAUAAUAAUAAUAAUAAUAAUAAUAAUAAUAAUAAUAAUAAUAAUAAUAAUAAUAAUAAUAAUAAUAAUAAUAAUAAUAAUAAUAAUAAUAAUAAUAAUAAUAAUAAUAAUAAUAAUAAUAAUAAUAAUAAUAAUAAUAAUAAUAAUAAUAAUAAUAAUAAUAAUAAUAAUAAUAAUAAUAAUAACGAUAAUAACAAAAGAAAAGGUGGUGGCAUAAGUUAUUUAAUUUACUGCAAUAAAGGAACUAUAUAUAUAUAGAUAUAUAUGCACACGCACGCACGCACCACUUGUAGCCUCCAGCUUCAAAUGCUCCUGAUUCGUACUUCUUAUGAACUGCUUUUUGGGCAAGUAAUGAAAAUGAUUUUAUUCUUAAGCUAAAAAUGUACAAGAAUAUUGAAAAAUAUGAUAUUAUUUAAUCCUAAUUAAUCAAUAUACAUACACUAAUACCGUAACAGUAGUGGUUCAAGAGGUUCGGGUUCGAAUUCGGAUUACACUAGGGUCGAGGAGUUGCUUGAUUUAUAUCGCAAAAUGGGAAAAAUAAUAAUAAUAAUAGAAAUAAUAAAGAAAGGAAUGGUGGUGCCUUGAGUUAUUUAAUAUACGGCAGUCAAGAAAAUAAAUAUACGUAUCACUUGUAGCCUCCGGCUUCAAAGAAACUGUCCAUCUCUGUUAACAAGUUCUCCAAAGAAUUGUUGAUUUUUAUUGAUUAGAAAUAAAAUAAAUUAAAUUCUAUCCAAACUGAAAUUACAAAAACGACUGAAAUACGACCAGUUUGACUGAUUAUAAUUUCUAAUUGAAUUUUACCAAAACAGAACCAUGAUUAAUUGCGUACACCUUGCAUAUUAACAAUCAAAAGACCUCUAUGUUUGAUGAAAAUUUGGCAUGUGGAAAGUGUCAAUGUAGGAGCAAUGAUACCACUACCAGAAAAGAACAUAACCUUCCUCCCUAGUAUAUAAAUGUCAAACGAUUACAAGACUGCUAGCUAACUCUUAAAAGGUACUGAAGUCCAAAACAGAGCCACGAUUAUCAGUUGCUCAUUUACUGCAUUGACAAAUGAAUAGAAGCAUUAAUUUGAUCAUCAUCAUUAGUUCUGAAACGAAUUGGCUGACAAAAGGGAAACUAAAUUCUGCUUGGGCAAUGUGAAAAUACGACAAAGCAUACUAAAAUCAUGUGACGUGGGACCCGAAAACUUAUAACCACAACCCCGAAACAAAGUCUCAGAAAUUUAUAAAAAAAAUGAUACUACCAACCAUACUAAAAUCAUGUGACGUGGGUCGUCAAUCCUUGGUUCUUUUACUUUUUUAUUUUUUUAUUUUUUUCCAUUGACUUCAGAACUUUUUUUACUCCUCUCUGUGGCGGCACUUUACACUCGUCACUACUAGAAAAAUAGGUUAUUAUGACAGAAUUUUUGUGAGAUAUUUAAAAAUUAAUCAUUUAUCACAAAAAUAAGAUAGAUUCGUGAUAGAAUUUUUAUGUAUCAUAAAGACGUGAUAGAUUUGUAAUAGCUUAUUUAUCUAUCACAUACACAUGAUCGCAUAUUAAUAUUUAAUGAAACGGUGAGUUUUGAAUGGAUUAAUUUAGGCAUAGAAUGACAACGUAUCUUGAAACCACAAAAAAAAAACAAAAAACCAUAAGUGGUAGACUCUCCUUUGACUUCAAAUGGCAAACCCUAAUUUCUAAAUCACACACAAAAACAAAAUCACGUUGCUGACAAAAAAUUUGGUCCUCUACUGCGCUGCUUGCCGACAACAAAUUGCUACUCUUCGUCUUCGUCUUCGUCUUCGUCUUUGUUAAGGAAGCUCAUUUGAGCAAAAUGGUCAGCAAAGCAGAGGAUUGUAACAGUUGCAGUUCACAGUUACAAGUUGAUGACUUGGGAUGCCAGCUGGCACCUGGUGGUUAUAUAGUUUCUUGUACACGUGAAUAUUAGUUUUAGUUUUGUUAUAGUAGCUAUUAAGUAUGUUUAGCAUGUUUAGUUAGCUAAGCAAAAUUAGUUGUGUGUACAGCAGCUUAUUAUAAGAAAUAAAAUUAAAAAAUUGGCACAGCUAGGUCUUUACUUCCUCUUUUUCUUAUAUUAUAUUCUUUUGAUUUGAUUUGAUUUGAUUUUUCUGUGAUCUAUACGCCAUUUAUUUUGAUCGAUCUGAUUGCUAUUCUAUGAUGUUGUUUAUUUUUUGGUGAACCACUAGCUUUCAAUUGAUUUUGAUUUAUUUGCUAGAUCUAGGGUUUUGUAUUGGCUUAUUAGUUUAGUAGUUAUGUAUCGACAUGUUUUUUCCUUUAAUUUUGAUUUUUUUUACUUCUCUCAUUCUAAUUUAGAUAAUUUUAGGGUUAUGCUUGAAUUAAUUAUUCUUUUAAUCAACUUAGGGUUGGAUUUAAUUGAUUCUAAGUCUCAUCUCUGUUCCCAUUCAAAAAAUAAGUACGCACAAAUAGUUUUCAUUUUAUUCUCAGUCAUUGCCAUGUGAUAAUUUUGUUUCUUUGAAUUAAUUUAUUUAAUCUUCGGUUAAUACACUUCUCUUUGAAUUAAUUUUGUUUGUUUGAAUUAAUCAUGGCCAUGUGAUGGAGUUCAUUUAUCAUUGGGAAGAAAAAAGUAGAUGAGAAGGAAUAUCAUGUUCAAGAGAUUAAGGACAACAUGCUGGACUAAUUAUCGAUUAUUUUAAAAUUAUGUUUUGGCUUAAACUACCCAUGUCACUAGCAUUAUUUCAAAAUCUGAAUAACCUCAUCUCUUUCUCAGACUGAAAGGCUAGCAUAGCAUUGGGCUGUUGCCUUUACUAAUUGAGAAGUGAAGUUCUAAACAGUGGCUCUAUACUGGAAACUUGGUUUCAUCUGCGUUAAUACUUUUGGUAAUUUCAGAACAAGAACUGGAAUCUAAAUAAGUAGUAGAAAUUUUUUUAUGUAAUUCUCAAGAUUUUUGAUAUCCUGAAUUUAUGGAUUAGUUAGAUAUCUAAUUUCUUCACUUUUUAAAGUGGAAAUUACUAGUUGCUUGAUGAGUAUGAUAAGUUUACUGCAAAAUACUUGUCUAGGACGCCCUCUGCUAUGAUGGGCUCUAAUGUGUUGAUUUCUCUGAUUUCUGCCCUGGAAGAAACUUUCCAUUUCUCUAAUUUAUGUUGUUUUUUUUUUAACCAUUGUUGCUAUUUUAACUGCUAGCUUUUUUUUUUAUUGAAUUUAACUGCUGUUGGUUUUUUUUAUGGGUUGAUUAUGUAAUUUUAUUAGUUGUUCUUACAGUUACAAACAAUAUUAAUCCAAAUGUGCAUGAUUAUAUAUAUAUAUAUAUAGUUUGCAUUAAUAUUAAUGGAAUAAAGAUUGAAAAAGAUCAUAAGUAACCAUACCACACAAGUUGAGAUUGUGUGGAUAUUAUAUCUUCAAAAUACACACCCAACUAGCUCUGGUGAGCUCUGGAGACUUUAAACUCGUUAUUUGAAGCGUUUUGCUAAUAUCAUUCAUUUGGAUUAGUUGCAAAUAAAAUUCAUUGUUUCUAAUUAGUAGCUAAAUAAAUUCACUAUCCAUGAUGGAAUUCUCCUACAAUUUUAGGAUUAACAAAGAAGAAUCAUAUAAAAAAUUAUAAUAAUGAAGGAGCAAAAUAAGAUAUGGCCUGGGAAUUUGUUUAUGCCAGUAUAGCAAACGCCACAUAUAACUUCUUAAGUUACAAUAAACUAGGAGAAGGUAGAUUUGGGCCAGUGUACAAGUAGGGAUGGCAAUGGGGAGGGGAGGGGAGGGGAGGGGACCAAUCUCCCCGUACCCAUCCCUGAUAUUUUGUGUAUGUCCUCGUCCUCUCCCCGUUCCCGUCAUAAUUACUUGAGAGAAUCUCCACCCCCUCCCCGAAUAAUAACAGGGGAUCCCCGAGGGUCUCCGAUCCCCGAAUAACUAAUACAUUUUUGUUUUCGAUUUUGAGUUAAUCAUAUUAAAAUAAAAAAAUUCAAAUAAAAGUAAAGUUUGAAAUAUAUCUUACAUUAAUAUCCAUUAGAAAAGUCACAUACAUUAAAUUAGUAAGUAACGCAGCGUGUAAGGGAUACAAACUUAUUUUAUAAACUAUCGUGAAUAAAUUAAUAGUCUAAUACAAAAUGGUUACAAAUAAAAUCGAAUUUAGAUUCAAAAUUAACUUUUUCAAUGGUGGCGUGGGCACUUUAUAAAUGUGGACUAUUCCUUUUACAACACAAUAGUUAAGUCGGAGCAAAUCAAGAGCAAAUAUUAGAUUAGAUAUUAAAAUUGUGAUUCCCUGUGGGCAAUUAUAACAUCUAAAAAUAAAUAAAAAAUAGAUUUAAGUUUAAAACAUUUAAUGAAUAUUAAAAUAAAAAUAAAAUUUUUGGGCUAAUAGAAUUUACCCGGUUUUUUUAAUGUGCUAAAUAAAAAUUUAGGAUUUUAAUUAGUUAAUUAGGCCUAAAAGUUUAAUAAUAUAAAUAUUUUGAUAUUUUUUAUUUUUACCAAUAUUUAAAAUUUUAUAAUUCAAAUUUUAUUAUUUAUUUACUAGUAAUUUUAAAAAAUAAAAAUUAAAAUUAAAAUUAAAAUGGGGAAAUGGGUAGGGGAUGGGGAUUCUACCUCAUCCCCAUCCCCUCCCCGAAUAAGAAAUUGGGUAAAAAAAUUUCCCCGUCCCUUCCCCGAAUAAGAAAUUGGGUAUGAAAUUAUCCUCAUACCCUCCCCGAAUGGGGAAAAUUCCCGAGGGUACCCGUCCCCGUGGGGAUUUUUGCCAUCCCUAGUUUUAUUUUACUAAAACACAAAAUAUGAUUUUUUUUAUUAAAAAGAAAUUCAUAGUUAAUUUAUCUCCUUAAUAGAGUCUUGUUUUUGUGGAAGUAGUAAUGGAUGUAACCAUUAUUAAAUAACUUUUCAAAAUUAUAACAAUUAUAGACCUUAUCAUAAGAAAUCAAUAAGUGAAUAUUAUACAAACAUAAUUAGUAUGAAGUUGAAUCAAUAUUGAUGAUGGACCGGAAAUUCAAAUCCAAAAUCUUCACUAAUUUGGCUUAGUAACUUUCUUGUUCAAGUUUAAUAAUUUUUGUGAAACUGCUCCUAAAAUUAGGGAGAGCAAAGUGAUAUAUAUAUUUGAUGGACAAUAUAAAUGCCAUGUAUCACCUCUACCCCAUUUGAUUUUUAUAUGAGUUAAUUUAUUUAAACUUAAAGUUCAACAAGAUUAUUGUACAACGUGCAUUGUUGAUCAAUUAAUUGAUAAGCUCACUGACAUAGAGAAUUAAAAAAAAUUACCACUAAUAUGGGUUGAUGUCCUUGAAGGAUGAAAUGGUGAUACAAAAUAAAUACACAAAUGCCUGAAGCUUGCAUGUAAUAGAUCAAAUAGUAAAAAAUAAUUUAAAUCUUGAGAAAAUGACAAAAUCUUUUAAAAUAAUUCGGCGCUCCUAAAGAGACUAUGUUUGUAUAUAGAAACACAUUUGAUCUAUAGUUAGAUUAUUGAAUAUACUGCCCUAGAAAGGCAUACCAACUAAUAAAUGAAUCUCAAAUACUCUGAAAAAGGUAGAUACUAAGAAACAAAGAGAUUGAAAUUGUCCUAUAAAAGAUGCUCAUGUAUAUUAAAAAAGAGAGAUCUUCAGUUCUUGCAGAGAUAUAUGUAUUAGAAAUUUCGAAAGAUCUCAAUUGUGCAUAUAUAUUGAAAAUGAGAAAUAUUUAAUAAAUGUUGGUACUUGGUGCAAGAGAAAAAAUUGAAAUUGACAUUAAAUAUUUGUCAAUAAAAUAUAGUUGUUAUGAUAAAAAAUUUUUAGAAUUCUAAAUUAUAAAAUGUAUAGAUCAUCAAAUUAUAUGAUUGGCCAAAAUUGUAAAAUAUUUAGAUUUGUAGUCCAUACACUAAAUGACGUAAAAUUAAUUAGUAAAAUUUUAUGAAUUUUGGACUUGUAGUCCAUACACCUAAAGUCAUAAAAUUUAUUAAUAAAAUGUAAAUCUGAACUGUAGUAUGUCAAAAUUAAAUUGAAGAAUUUAUCUAAAAUUCGCAAUGAAUAGUCUGCAUAUACUUUAACAGCCUCAACUGCGGAAUCUGCCAAAGCCAAGAACAGAGAAAGAUGAUCGCCAUCACCAAAGCCAUUUCCCAUGGGAUAGAGCCGUAUCUUCCUGAAAAGAAUUUUAUGGAAUUUAAUUGUUCAUUCACUAAAAACUUUGUCCCAAGAACGUAUUUACAUCUAUAAUCUGAUUUAAAAAAAAAAUUUGAAUCUUUGAUACCAUUUGUGAUUUCCAGCACUGAACACUUGUGAUUCCUGACGUCCUUCGCCCAACUUUGAAAAGUUUUCAACCUUCCAAACAUACUUAGAACUAUAUGCAUAUUUUUCCAUGGAUAGGCACUCUCCUUUGACUAUGUUUCUUUCUUUAACAAAGACUUCAGCUCCAAAAAUACAUGUAUCCUCGACAAGGUAUCCAUUUGAAGCAUCGUUGAAAGCUUUAAGCGGGAUGAACUGAUCAAAACCCCAUUCAAGCUUCAAUCCAUUAAACCUUCUUUCCUUUCCCAUGGCAUCUAUCACAUUACAAGCGACCACCGAUUAUGCAAUUGCUUAUCUAAAAGACUAGAACGAGCUUCUGCUGCAAUAUUUUCUGUAAAACUUUAUAUGUACCAGCUAGACUGUAUUUAAUUUGUGAAAUACUGAUGAUCGCACUAGAUAAAAUUUAUAAACAUACGAUAUCGUCAAAAUUGUCAAACAUAGAUCAUUGGAAAAUAUGAUCAAGGUUAGCAUUUCAAAAGUAGAAUAUAAUAUAACCUUGAACCACCAAGUAGUUGUCUUGGUUCUGAUCAAGUAAAAAUAAACGAAAAACUGCAUAGACUUCCCAACCAAGAGUAACCGAACUUGUGUCUGCCACUGCUAAGUAGAGUGAAAUGUGGUCUUGCACAUUCUUGCUCUUAUUUCCAUUUGGAUAUAGAACAAGUUUCCUGCAAUAAUUAAUUGAUCAACAUAAAUACACUAAUUUAUGAUAUUACCAAGCAAAGACUAUGGUUCAAGAGUUAGGUUUGAAUCCUGAUCACAUUAGGGAUGAGGGUUGAGUUGUAGCAUUUUUCUUAUUAUUACUAUAGCUUAAUGGCAACCCAAUUCUCUCCCAUCUUUGUAAAGUAGGUUCGAACCCCAGAUCUCAUGUUUCGGCACAAGAGAUUUUACCCAAUUGAACUAAACGACACUCAACCCACAAGUUGAGGAGUUGUUUGAUUAUAUAUCAAGAUGAAAUAAUAAUAAUGAUGAUGAUAAUAACAAAAGAAAAGGUAGUGGCGUAAGUUAUUUCAUUUACAGCAAUAAAGGAAAAAAAAACUUAUAUAUGUAUAUAUAUACCACUUGUAGCCUCCAGCUUCAAAUGCUCCUGAUUCGUAUUUCUCAUCAACUGCUUUCUCCGCAAGUACUGAAAAUGAUUUUAUUUUGACAAUGUAAUGAGCCGGUGGUACAUGUGAAGUGGAUCUUGCAAUGGCUAUACAUUCAAGUAAUUUUAAUUAACACCCACUGAUUAUAAAUAAAAUAAACUGAAUAUUUUAAGAAUGUUGACCAAAAGAACAUGAAAGGUUUGAACAUACAUACCAUCUUUGUCAACAAAGACACUGUCCAUCUUUGUUAAAUUGUUCAUUUUUUUUUCUUUUUUGGUAAUUAAACUGAAGCCGGAGGCUGUAGACGCUACUUGGACGGUACUGUUUUUGUUGGCAAGGGCAAGGCACAAGGCUCUGCUACCGAUCCUAGGGAAAAAAAUGGACUAUUAUUUAUUAGGGUAACUUUUUUUUUUUUUUUGAAGAUAAGGUAACUUAAAAUUUACUUAAUUAUAUCCUAAAAAAUUAAGAAAAUAAAUUAAAUCCUAACUAAACUGAAAUUACAAAACAGCUCAAAUACGACCAAUUUGACUGAUUAUAAUUUCUAAUAUAAUUUUACCAAAAUAGAAUGAUGACUACUUGCCCCUUGCAUAUUAACAAUGAAAAAGAUCUCUUUGUUUGAUGAAAAUUUGGCAUGAAUUGAAAUUCAAACAUGGGAAAAGUGUUAAUGUAGAAGCGAUGAUACCAGAACAGAACAUAACCGUCCUCCCUAGCAUAUAAUGUCAAACAACAACUACAAAGACAGCUAGCUAGCUCUUCAAAGGUACUGAAGUCCAAAACAUAGCCAUAAUUACUAGUAGCUCACUUAUUGCUAGGGAUGGCAAUGGGCGGGCUCGGGGUGGAGAUCAUGAACCCCAAACCCAAACUGGUAGCAAUCUCCGUACCAUAACCAAAAAACUUUAACUGGGGAUAUCCCUGAUAAUCCCAUUUAUUUAUUUUUUAAAAAAUUGAUAAUUUUGAAUAUUCGGGUCCUUCAAAAAAAAUUAAUUAUUUUGCAUACAUAGCUUUGAAAAAAAAUUAAAAAUGAGCAAAUUAAUAGCGCAAACAACAUUUCAAACGAACGAAUUCAGCUAUCAAGCAUACCCGUAAUUAAUAACAAGAUUAUUUCAACACAAAACGAAUUGAUAAUCAUCCAUCAAGCAUAUCCGUAAUAAUAAAUCCAAUAUCACUGAACAAACUUGUACAAUAAUACCACUUAGUAAUAUUCAACCAAGUUUCAAAGAAUACGGCCUCGUCGCAAGUAAAGGCGCUAAUUUCUAAAAUUACCUUGACUGAUCAAAUGGCAGCUAAGGCGGUGACGGGUGGUUGAGUCCGGUGAGAAAUGAGAGCGCCGGCGAGAAAGGGUUAGCGGCUUGCGGUAAUGCUUGGUCUUUAGGCUAGAGAGGAAAGCGAUGUUAACGGCGCAAUCUUGGACUUUUGGUGUUGGACGCGACGGCCGGAAAGGGGAAGCUCCGUUGACCGUUGGAGACUUGGAGGUGGCGAUGUCUAGCGUUUUGAGAGUGGUGGGUUUCGGUCUGGGUUUUAGACUUUUAGUUUUGUGAUGCCUUUUUUUAUUAUUUGAUUAAACUUAUUCGGAAAGUGCGUCGAGUAAUUUUUUUAUUAAAUUAAAUAUUUUUAAUCGUGUGAAUUCAAAAUAUAUUUUACUUUUAAAAUAAAAAAAUUUGGGUUUCGAAUUCUUGAACCCAAAUGCAAAAUACAUUUGAGACUUGGACUUACUUUUGAAACAGAUCCGUUUUCAGUUUUAAAGCGGUUUGGGUUCAUAUCUGACCCGAAUUAAUCUAAACCAUCCCUACUUAAUACUUUCUUCGUUUCAACUACAUUUUUUUUUUUUUAAAUAUCAAAAUCUUAGAAGAAAAAAGAGGUAAAAGCCCAUUCAAUCUCUAUAUUUUAAAAUUAGUAUUCAUUUAGGCCCUAUAUUUUUUAAAAUAUCUCGAAACAUCCUUACCGUUAAAAUAUUGAUACCCAUACCGUUCCUUUUUAUUUCUUUUAGCUUACUUUUACAAUAUUACCCUUUUAUAAUAAUUUUUUUAUUUGAACAUUAAUAAAAAAUAAUUAAAUUAUCAAUUUAACUAAAAAAAUUAUAUUAAUUUUUAAUUGUCAAAAAUUGUAUGCAAAUUACCAAGCGUGCAAAUGGUACUUGCAAAAAAAUUAAUAUAAUUUUUUUUUUAUUUUUAAGGUUAAAUUAGUAAUUUAAUUAUUAUUUUUUAUUAAUAUCCAAACAAAAAAAUUAUUAUAAAAGGGUAAUAUUGUAAAAAUAAACCAAAAGAAAUAAAAAGUAACAAUAGGGGUAUCAAUACUUUAACGACAAAGAUGUUUCGAGGCAUUUUAAAAAUAUAAGGACUAAAUGGACACUAAUCUUAAAAUACGGGGACUAAAUGAACUUUUACCCAUAAAAGAAUUAGAGUAGGGGAUAUAAGGAAUUUCUCCCUAAAGAGAUGCAGAGAAAUAGAACACCAAAAUAACACUAAAAAGUUAGCUUGACAGCAUAAACAAUAAGCAAUGUAAGAGUUAUUUUGGAAAACCACAAGAGAAAUAAAUUUCCUGAUAGCUAAAAUAAAUUUCCUAGAUUAGCCAGGCAGUCAGCAUCAUACAAUAAAAGAACCCAUUUGGAAGACAAUUAAUUACUUGCUAUAAUGGCUCGGAAAUUCCGAGCACAGUGACCUCAGCUUCCACCACGCAAACGCCAUUCACUAGAAAUCUAGUCUCUGGCUCAUCUAACUCACCCAAUGAAACGAAUCUUGGCCGGCCCCAGUUAUCGCUUGGUGUAUGGAACCAGUCUUUAUUCUCUGCUAGAGUAAAAGGAACAUUCUCGUUAUAUUAAUGGGACUUGCCUCAAAAACUAAUUGCAGGUAAACACAGACAUUUUACCUUGAAAAGAUUUAUGUUUUGCCCCCACUUGAUCUAUGAUUCGCAAUGUAUGCUCUACAUAUAUGCUUUAGUCGCCUCGACUGCGGAAUCUCCCAAAGCCAAGUACAGAGAAAGAUGAUCGCCAUCACCACAGCCGUUUACAAUCUGGAGGAAUGUGCUUCACAAACAAAGAAACAAACAGACACUACCAGAAGCAACUAUGCAGUUACUGGUUCAGAAACACAAAACCUAGAGUCACUGAAAAUGGAUAGAACAAUUACUAUCUUUGAGUAAAGAAGCAAAACAACUAAAACCUAGCUUUGCCAGCUUUUGCGGCACGCAGCCCUUCAGUAAUUAGUGCAUCAAGCUACAGGUCCAUAACUCGCGUGUAUGAAUUUGAAAUUUAGGAGUCCAAUAAUGCAAGCGGUUUGAGUGAGAUAUUAUAACUGAAUUAUUGGCAAUUAAAACUUCAGGAAGUAACGGGUGUCUGAUAAGCUUCUACCUUCACAUUUGCAGCAACCACUGCCUAAUGUCCUUUUGUAGGACUCCAUCAAACCCAUUUCUAUUGUAGUUCAAACUCAACUGAUCAGAUCCAUUUGUCUGAAGAUGCCUAUACUGGGUUAUGGUUCCCGCAGGCCUUGGAUGCCGCAUCAUCAUGGCAAUGGUAGAAAAGGGUAGUUUAGGCCAUAUAUUUUUUGAUGAGCUAAACAGAUGUAAAUCAGAUUCCUUGUUUCUGGAUGUUUGGACUCCAGGAGUUUUUGGAUUGGAAGACUUCAUUCCAUGGUUGGUCAUGUUCAUGCUGGGGCCAUGUGGCAGUUUCUCAGGGGGACCAUGUAUCUGGGCAGAUGGUUUCAUACGGUCAAGCCAACGUAGAAUCCAGUUACCAACAUUUCUACCAACUUCUAUGUCCCUCUGUUGUAUGUUCCUAUGAAACUUGAGAGCAAUAUCAAAGGCAGCACGUACUCAGCUGUGGAAAAAAUCAAUGAAGAAUGAAGGUCAGUCUUCAAAAACAAUGGCAGUUCCAAGUUGGAGUAAUAAAUUUGUUAUUAUGCAAAACAAUUGUAGAAAUAACAGUAUUUGCCAGCUAGUAAUUGACAUAACAGCAGUAGUUAAACAGUAGAAUGGAAUCCAAUGAGCCAACCAGAGGGAAGAAUGCAAAGCUCGGGCAGUACCGUGGUCAGUAUCACACUGAGACUCUAACAGUGGAGGAUGUCCAAUUAUUGGUUUCAUAAUGCAUACUAAAUCAAUUCAAAGUCCAAAGUAUAGAAACAAUUAACUAAUUUAGGAUUUCAAUUUUAUGCAGAGGGUUUCAUGAAUAAUUACAACUGGAUCGGAAAGAUUCUGGAGCAAAAAAAUGUGCCCUGGUAAAUUACUGUCAUGAAGUAAAUAACAUCCUACAAAUAAACAUCAAAAUAUAACGGCUCAUUAAAAAGAAAAGCACAGAAGAACUUUCAAUCUAUCAUUUCAAAACAGUCUCUUUGAACUAAACAAGAGUACAGCUAUGACCUCCAGCUUUGGACGUUAGUACUUGUGCUUCUCCAAAAUCUUCACAUCACCUAAAGAGAGACAGCAAAGGUUUCUCAGGGGGACCACGUAUAUGAGCAGAUGGUUUCAUUUAGUCAAGCCAACGUAGAAUCCAGCAUUUCUACCAACUUCUAUGUCCCUCUCAUGUAUGUUCCUGUGAAACUUGAGAGCAACAUCAAAGGCAGCACGUACUCGGCUGUGGAAAAAAUCAAUGAAGAAUGAAGGUCAGUCUUCAAAAAACAAUGGCAGUUCCAAGUUGGAGGAGUAAUAAAUUUGUUAUUAUUCAAAACAAUUGUAGAAAUAACAGUAUUUGCC